CCUGCUGAAUUUAAGCAUAUUAGUCAGUGGAGGAAAAGAAAUUAACCUGGACUCCCUCAGUAACAGCAAGUGAACAGGGAAGAGCCCAGCAUUGAAUCCCUGCCCCACAGUAGGGUGCAGGAAAUGUGGCAUAUUGAAGACCCACUCCCCGGUGAUGCUCAUGGGGGGCCCAAGUCCUUCUGAUUGAGGCCCAGCUCAUGGACGGUGUGAGGCUGGUAGUGGUCCCCAGUGUGCCAGGCCCAGGUCUUCCCAGAGUUGGGCUGCUUGGGAAUGCAGACGAAAGAGGGUGGUAAACUCCAUCUAUGGCUAAAUACUGGCAUGAGACCAAUAGUCAACAAGUACCAUAAGUGAAAGUUGAAAAGAACUUAGAAGAGAGACUUCAAGAGGGUAUGACCCGCUCUGGGGAUGGUAUCAAGUAGGGAGUUUGACUGGGGCAGUCAAGGCAUGUCUUACAU
Ribosomal RNA from Homo sapiens (human), 455 nucleotides. It matches the Rfam family "Eukaryotic large subunit ribosomal RNA", at positions 24 to 664 of the family's 3401-position model. Lineage: Eukaryota; Metazoa; Chordata; Mammalia; Primates; Hominidae. The record is from Rfam.